Molecule: long non-coding RNA, 1168 nt
Organism: Diabrotica virgifera virgifera (western corn rootworm)
Lineage: Eukaryota; Metazoa; Arthropoda; Insecta; Coleoptera; Chrysomelidae
Exons: 2
Source: RefSeq, a predicted model, not a curated record
AUUUGACGUGUAAAAGCACACUUUGACAUCUAAGUUUGUUCGUUAUAAACUUCACGUGAAGAAAUUGACGAAAAAGAAAAUUGUUCUAUUUUUUCAUUUAUUUGGCGUGAAUUCAGUGUCACCAACCUGUGUCCAUUUGGCGGGAAGUGGAAGUAGAGCUGUAGAGCUUUUUGUUUAUUAUUAUUUGUUGAGGUUGAGUCUUUCAUGUUCAUGACAACCUAAAAAUUUUGAUUGGAAAAUGCAUAUAAGAUAAGGGGGUGGGAAAAUGGAAAUUAGUGGCUUUUUUGCAGUUCUGUCUGUUAGUUUUGCUCUGGCUGGGUCUCUUUUGUUUAAACAAUUAUAAUCAGCUGAAAGUGGUCUACAAAAAAACCAGGAAGGAAACGUAUUAUAGCCUUGUUGUGGCUAUGAAAGGCAAAAGAAAGAUACCUAUAAAAAGUGUAUUGACUAGUUGGAAGAAACUCCACAUUGUCGAUGCAUAAUAAGACAUUACUUUAUAAACAAAUAUCAAGACCUAGGAAUGGAACCUGGAUAAUAUAGUCAUCAAGAAGAUAGCAGGAGGUCAUGAGCAACAACAACUUCAUAAGUAUGAGAAUAUUGAGGAAAUCCAGCUCCUCGAUAUCUACUACUGGACAAACUAGAAGAUUGAAGAGGACAAAGCCUUUUGAACUAGUUUGAGUGAUAGGUGAUAGUGAAAAGCAGAGCGUAGUGCUUGUGUGCCUGUGUAUGUUAGAAUAGUGCACGAUCUUGUUAGAUUAGAUAAGAGACGCUAUAGGGUAAGCUCUUCAUUUUAAGGAACAGUAGUAAUUUAGGUUAAAUUAAAAUUGCUCAUUGGUCAGUUAUGACCAGAUUGUAAUUCUCUGAUGUUUGGCAAAAAGGGCUGAAGUCAGAAUUGCACAUCAAUAAUGUUUUGAUGAUUUCUGGACCAUAAAAAAAGUGUUGCAGACUUAAACUGUAUGUACCAAUAAAAAGAGCCGAUUUUUCUGGUCCAGAAAUCAUCAAAACAUUAUCGAUGUGCAAUUCUGACUUAAGCCCUUUUUCCCAAACAUCAGAGAAUUGCAAUGUACAAUUCAAUACAAAUGAAUCAUCAUCGUAGUGAUGAUUAUGGAAAAAAAUAUAUAUAUAUAUAUAGAAAUAUAUAUAUUUUGUGCAAUAAAAAUGUUUAUAUUUA